AGUGCAGCCGGUUUGAAAUGCAAGAUGGCGGCGGCGGGGCUCUGAGAGGCGCGGCGGCUCCUGCAGGUGAUGGCAGAUAGGUACUUUGGACCUGUUGGUAAUGAUGGCCUGAGCUAAACACCUCCUAUUGAAGGGACACCCUUCCGUGUCAAAGAACAGAAUGGGGAGGAGACUGUGGCAGGUGAUUGGAGUUGUGCUUCAAAAAUUUCAGCAGUUCUGCAGUAUUUUAUUUGCCAACCAUAAGCUCUUUACUUGAUUGCACCAUGAAAAAGCUGCUAAUGAGACUCGCUGAGCACAAAGACAGACUUGAAGAACCAAAAGCCAUUGUUUUCAAAUGAAGGAUACUGAACAGUUUUAAACCCCAAUGCUUUUUAAUCACCA
This is a long non-coding RNA of Budorcas taxicolor (takin), 381 nucleotides long. RefSeq lists it as uncharacterized. The transcript is spliced from 3 exons. Lineage: Eukaryota; Metazoa; Chordata; Mammalia; Artiodactyla; Bovidae. The record is from RefSeq and is a predicted model, not a curated record.